Molecule: ribosomal RNA, 429 nt
Filed under: Bacteroidota bacterium
Lineage: Bacteria; Pseudomonadati; Bacteroidota
Description: Bacteroidetes bacterium partial 16S ribosomal RNA
Rfam family: Bacterial small subunit ribosomal RNA
Source: RNAcentral
UAGGGAAUCUUCCGCAAUGGGCGAAAGCCUGACGGAGCAACGCCGCGUGAGUGAUGAAGGUCUUCGGAUCGUAAAACUCUGUUAUUAGGGAAGAACAAAUGUGUAAGUAACUAUGCACGUCUUGACGGUACCUAAUCAGAAAGCCACGGCUAACUACGUGCCAGCAGCCGCGGUAAUACGUAGGUGGCAAGCGUUGUCCGGAUUUAUUGGGCGUAAAGCGAGCGCAGGCGGUCAAUUAAGUCUGAUGUGAAAGCCCCCGGCUCAACCGGGGAGGGUCAUUGGAAACUGGUUGACUUGAGUGCAGAAGAGGAGAGUGGAAUUCCAUGUGUAGCGGUGAAAUGCGUAGAUAUAUGGAGGAACACCAGUGGCGAAGGCGACUCUCUGGUCUGUAACUGACGCGGAGGCUCGAAAGCGUGGGUAGCAAACAGG